CCUACGGGGGGCUGCAGUGGGGAAUAUUGCACAAUGGGGGAAACCCUGAUGCAGCAACGCCGCGUGAAGGAAGAAGGUUUUCGGAUCGUAAACUUCUAUCAGUAGGGAAGAAGCAAGUGACGGUACCUAACUAAGAAGCCCCGGCUAACUACGUGCCAGCAGCCGCGGUAAUACGUAGGGGGCAAGCGUUAUCCGGAAUCACUGGGUGUAAAGGGUGCGUAGGCGGCGAUAUAAGUCAGAUGUGAAAAACCGAUGCUCAACAUCGGUCCUGCAUUUGAAACUGUAUGGCUAGAGUACAGGAGAGGAAAGUGGAAUUCCUAGUGUAGCGGUGAAAUGCGUAGAUAUUAGGAGGAACAUCAGUGGCGAAGGCGACUUUCUGGACUGUAACUGACGCUGAGGCACGAAAGCGUGGGUAGCGAACAGGCUUAGAUACCCCGGUAGUC
This 443-nucleotide ribosomal RNA is filed under the name uncultured Eubacteriales bacterium. Its description in RNAcentral is "bacterial SSU rRNA". It matches the Rfam family "Bacterial small subunit ribosomal RNA", at positions 338 to 795 of the family's 1533-position model. The record is from RNAcentral. Lineage: Bacteria; Bacillati; Bacillota; Clostridia; Eubacteriales.